This 543-nucleotide ribosomal RNA is filed under the name Ijimaia antillarum (jellynose). Its description in RNAcentral is "partial 16S ribosomal RNA". It matches the Rfam family "Bacterial large subunit ribosomal RNA", at positions 1846 to 2586 of the family's 2925-position model. Lineage: Eukaryota; Metazoa; Chordata; Actinopteri; Ateleopodiformes; Ateleopodidae. The record is from RNAcentral.
UAAGAGGUCCCGCCUGCCCUGUGACAAUUAGUUUAACGGCCGCGGUAUUUUGACCGUGCAAAGGUAGCGCAAUCACUUGUCUUUUAAAUGAAGACCUGUAUGAAUGGCAUUACGAGGGCUUAGCUGUCUCCUUGCCCCAGUCAAUGAAAUUGAUCUCCCCGUGCAGAAGCGGGGAUAACACCAUAAGACGAGAAGACCCUGUGGAGCUUUAAAUUAUAAGUAGACUGUGUUAAUACGCCAAAAUAAAGGAAACUAAACCAAAUAGACACUACUUUAAUAUUUUUGGUUGGGGCGACCACGGGGGACAAAUAAGCCCCCACGAGGACCAGGAAAAUCUUCCUAAAACCAAGAGCUACAGCUCUAAGAAACAGAACUUCUGACCUACCAGAUCCGGCCUUUAAGCCGAUCAACGGACCGAGUUACCCCAGGGAUAACAGCGCAAUCUUCUUUCAGAGCCCCUAUCGACAAGAAGGUUUACGACCUCGAUGUUGGAUCAGGACAUCCUAAUGGUGCAACCGCUAUUAAGGGUUCGUUUGUUCAACG